This 254-nucleotide non-coding RNA is filed under the name Clostridium pasteurianum. RNAcentral's name for it is "T-box sequence". It matches the Rfam family "T-box leader". Rfam says of the family: Uncharged tRNA acts as the effector for transcription antitermination of genes in the T-box leader family. T-boxes are found upstream of many aminoacyl-tRNA synthetase genes and some amino acid biosynthetic genes usually in Gram-positive bacteria. The record is from RNAcentral. Lineage: Bacteria; Bacillati; Bacillota; Clostridia; Eubacteriales; Clostridiaceae.
AAAAUGGUGACGAUAGGAAGAGUAUAUAUAAUUGGAUUUGUAGAGAGUCAGAGGUGCUGGAAAUCUGAUAUGAAAAUUAUAUGGAAGAACAUCCUUGAACAGUUAACUGAAAGCUAUGUGAGCUAGUAGGCUUAAACGGUUGUCUACCGUUAAAAAGACAGGGUAUUGAUAUUUUGAAUUCAUCUGUACCUGUAAAAGUGAACAUUUUAUAUGUUAAGUAGGAUGGUACCGCGAAGUUUUAACCCGUUCCUAUA